GAGAAUAUAUAAAAAACUGGAGGCCAAGAUACUUCCUUUUGAAGACAGAUGGCUCAUUCAUAGGAUAUAAAGAGAAACCUCAAGAUGUGGAUUUACCUUAUCCCCUCAACAACUUUUCAGUGGCAAAAUGCCAGUUAAUGAAAACAGAACGACCAAAGCCAAACACAUUUAUAAUCAGAUGUCUCCAGUGGACUACUGUUAUAGAGAGAACAUUUCAUGUAGAUACUCCAGAGGAAAGGGAAGAAUGGACAGAAGCUAUCCAGGCUGUAGCAGACAGACUGCAGAGGCAAGAAGAGGAGAGAAUGAAUUGUAGUCCAACUUCACAAAUUGAUAAUAUAGGAGAGGAAGAGAUGGAUGCCUCUACAACCCAUCAUAAAAGAAAGACAAUGAAUGAUUUUGACUAUUUGAAACUACUAGGUAAAGGCACUUUUGGGAAAGUUAUUUUGGUUCGAGAGAAGGCAAGUGGAAAAUACUAUGCUAUGAAGAUUCUGAAGAAAGAAGUCAUUAUUGCAAAGGAUGAAGUGGCACACACUCUAACUGAAAGCAGAGUAUUAAAGAACACUAGACAUCCCUUUUUAACAUCCUUGAAAUAUUCCUUCCAGACAAAAGACCGUUUGUGUUUUGUGAUGGAAUAUGUUAAUGGGGGCGAGCUGUUUUUCCAUUUGUCGAGAGAGCGGGUGUUCUCUGAGGACCGCACACGUUUCUAUGGUGCAGAAAUUGUCUCUGCCUUGGACUAUCUACAUUCCGGAAAGAUUGUGUACCGUGAUCUCAAGUUGGAGAAUCUAAUGCUGGACAAAGAUGGCCACAUAAAAAUUACAGAUUUUGGACUUUGCAAAGAAGGGAUCACAGAUGCAGCCACCAUGAAGACAUUCUGUGGCACUCCAGAAUAUCUGGCACCAGAGGUGUUAGAAGAUAAUGACUAUGGCCGAGCAGUAGACUGGUGGGGCCUAGGGGUUGUCAUGUAUGAAAUGAUGUGUGGGAGGUUACCUUUCUACAACCAGGACCAUGAGAAACUUUUUGAAUUAAUAUUAAUGGAAGACAUUAAAUUUCCUCGAACACUCUCUUCAGAUGCAAAAUCAUUGCUUUCAGGGCUCUUGAUAAAGGAUCCAAAUAAACGCCUUGGUGGAGGACCAGAUGAUGCAAAAGAAAUUAUGAGACACAGUUUCUUCUCUGGAGUAAACUGGCAAGAUGUAUAUGAUAAAAAG
Molecule: non-coding RNA, 1205 nt
Filed under: Homo sapiens (human)
Lineage: Eukaryota; Metazoa; Chordata; Mammalia; Primates; Hominidae
Source: RNAcentral